RNAcentral lists this ribosomal RNA (450 nucleotides) under Campylobacter sp. canine oral taxon 011. RNAcentral describes it as "bacterial SSU rRNA". It matches the Rfam family "Bacterial small subunit ribosomal RNA", at positions 9 to 455 of the family's 1533-position model. Lineage: Bacteria; Pseudomonadati; Campylobacterota; Epsilonproteobacteria; Campylobacterales; Campylobacteraceae. The record is from RNAcentral.
GAGUUUGAUUAUGGCUCAGAGUGAACGCUGGCGGCGUGCCUAAUACAUGCAAGUCGAACGGAGAUUAAAGUAAGCUUGCUUAUUUUAAUCUUAGUGGCGCACGGGUGAGUAAUGUAUAGCUAAUCUGCCCUACACUAGAGGACAACAGUUGGAAACGACUGCUAAUACUCUAUACUCCUUCUUUACAUAAGUUAAGUCGGGAAAGUUUUUCGGUGUAGGAUGAGGCUAUAUCGUAUCAGCUAGUUGGUGAGGUAAUGGCUCACCAAGGCUAUGACGCGUAACUGGUCUGAGAGGAUGAUCAGUCACACUGGAACUGAGACACGGUCCAGACUCCUACGGGAGGCAGCAGUAGGGAAUAUUGCUCAAUGGGGGAAACCCUGAAGCAGCAACGCCGCGUGGAGGAUGACACUUUUCGGAGCGUAAACUCCUUUUCUUGGGAAAGAAUUAUGA